GACGAACGCUGGCGGCGUGCUUAACACAUGCAAGUCGAACGAAGUGGCGAACGGGUGAGUAACGCGUAAUCAACCUGCUCUUCAGAGGGGGAAAACAGUUGGAAACGACUGCUAAUACCGCAUACUGAAGGAGGGGUUUGUGUCGGAUUAGCUAGUUGGGGGGGUAACGGCCCACCAAGGCGAUGAUCAGGAGCCGGGCUGAGAGGAUGAACGGCCACAUUGGGACUGAGACACGGCCCAGACGCCUACGGGAUGCAGCAGUGGGGAAACUUCCGAAAUGGACGAAAGUCGGACUGAGCAAAGCCGCGUGAGUGGUGACGGCCUUCGGGUUGUAAAGCUCUGUUAAUCGGGACGCGGUACCGGAAUAGAAAGCCACGGCUAACUACGUGCCAGCAGCCGCGGUAAUAC
Molecule: ribosomal RNA, 408 nt
Filed under: uncultured bacterium
Lineage: Bacteria
Description: partial 16S ribosomal RNA
Rfam family: Bacterial small subunit ribosomal RNA
Source: RNAcentral